Molecule: long non-coding RNA, 761 nt
Organism: Nothobranchius furzeri (turquoise killifish)
Lineage: Eukaryota; Metazoa; Chordata; Actinopteri; Cyprinodontiformes; Nothobranchiidae
Source: RefSeq, a predicted model, not a curated record
AGUUCAGUGACCUGGAAUUGAUGUAGCCUCCAAGACAUUUUUUUUUUCUACCUGGUCAACAACAUGAAUUUUGAGCCCCAAACACAUUAUUUCUGCUGUCUGUGGUGUCUACUGAGAAUCUAAAGAACCUGUGGAACAUCAGAGACUUUGCAGCUAUUAGAGCUAACCUGUGUACUGCUAACUUGCUACAGAGGAAGCAGCAGAAAGCUGAGCUAACAGGCUGUUUUGCAGGCAAUCCUCGGGUGUCAGCAGGAGGAGGUGACUACCUGCAUUACGGAGCACCCUGGUUCUGAGCCAGUUGCACCUUUGUGCUGCUCUUUGGGGAGGCGAUGCUCAGCAGACACAUGCCUCCAUGUGGUCAGGUGGUGUUGGUGUGAUCUGGGAGGGCACACUCAUGUCGUCAUCUCCUUGUGCCGUCUCCAGGAUCCUGAUGGGAGUUCUCUGUGCCUAUAAAGCAGGGGUAUUUACUUCUGAGCCUGGAGGGCCGGUAUCCAGCACGUUUUAGUUUUAACUGUUUCAACACACCUGAUUUCAGUCAGCAGAUAAUUAACAGGCUUCUGCAGAGCUGCUGCACAGGUAAUUCAACCCCUGAUUCAAGUGUGUUGGAGCAGGGAAACAACUAAAACGUGCUGGAUACCAGCCAUCCAGGACUAGAAUUGAAUACCCCUGCUAUAAAGCCUUCCUCCCUCCUCCGGACUUUAAACAUUAGUAUUUUAUUAUGGUUUACCUGAUUUAAUAAAUAAAUCUCAAUUUAUAAAUUU